AUACGGAGGAUGCAAGCGUUAUCCGGAUUUAUUGGGUUUAAAGGGUGCGCAGGCGGACUAUUAAGUCAGUUGUGAAAGCCUACAGCUCAACUGUAGAACUGCCGUUGAUACUGAUAUUCUUGAGUUUUGUUGAGGUAGGCGGAAUGUGUCAUGUAGCGGUGAAAUGCUUAGAUAUGACAAGGAACACCGAUCGCGAAGGCAGCUUACCAAGCAAAUACUGACGCUCAUGCACGAAAGCGUGGGGAUCAAACAGGAUUAGAUACCCUGGUAGUCCACGCUGUAAACGAUGAUCACUAGAUGUUGGCGAUAAACAGUCAGCGUCCAAGCGAAAGUAAUAAGUGAUCCACCUGGGGAGUACGUUCGCAAGAAUGAA
This 373-nucleotide ribosomal RNA is filed under the name uncultured bacterium. RNAcentral describes it as "bacterial SSU rRNA". It matches the Rfam family "Bacterial small subunit ribosomal RNA", at positions 523 to 898 of the family's 1533-position model. The record is from RNAcentral.